CUCUUGAUGUAGCAGGGCAAUCUAUGCUUGAAAGUUCUAGCCUAGAACUUGAAGCAGAUCAAGUUGUAAUACAACAAACUUACAAAAAGCAGAUUGUGGUGUCUGGAAAUCCAAUAAUUGACAAUGUUGGCAAGCAAACUAAAUUGAACUUUUCCUGUCAGUCAGAUGUGAUGGAGGUGGAGGGUAGACUUGACAAUCAAGGGAGAUUACCUGCUGCCGCUGUCCCAAGAUAUUUGAACCUUGAGCCGUCACUUGCAAUGGACUGGCUUGAGAUCUC
Molecule: unclassified non-coding RNA, 277 nt
Filed under: Hevea brasiliensis (rubber tree)
Lineage: Eukaryota; Viridiplantae; Streptophyta; Magnoliopsida; Malpighiales; Euphorbiaceae
Source: RNAcentral